GUUGAAAUACCUGAAGCAAAAAUAUUCACCAUCAAUUCAAAGGGUCAAAUUGUGCUAAAGCGCAACACAGAUACAAUGUCAUACUCCUGUCUACAUGGUUGUGUUAAUGACUUGUUUCCACCGAUGUCCUCAGUGAGCAGGUGCAGCUUACGGAGGCUGACUAUGUGAGUAUAGCUUCUUGAUCUGCAUAUCGCAUGCAAAGAGAAAACACAUGUGAGUGGACUCACAAUGCGAACCUUUGUUGUAUUUUUCUUUCCUUUUACGUUAUUUGCAUAAGGAGACGAGUUGGUAAUUACAUACUUUAAACUACACAGCUUUGGCUUAACCAAAGACAGCUUCACUUUAACUUGUAUAUAUUGCUCAUGGAAGUUACUAGCAUGUAGCAAU
RNAcentral lists this unclassified non-coding RNA (387 nucleotides) under Hevea brasiliensis (rubber tree). Lineage: Eukaryota; Viridiplantae; Streptophyta; Magnoliopsida; Malpighiales; Euphorbiaceae. The record is from RNAcentral.